UAUUGGAAUCAUUGUCAACCGAUUGUUUUCAAACGAGAUAUUUGCGGUGAAUUUUGUGUUUGAUUUUGUUUAGUUUUGAUAAUAACAAAACAUUCACAAGCUGAAACUGCAAAUAUUUCGAUUCAACUUUGGACCGUGUUGGUGUGGUUUGCAUUUAUAUGUUGCAUUCAAAAGAGUUAAUAUCACUCAAUUUGUCGAUUUUGAAUCACUUCACGCUUAACAUUCAAUCAGUUCAACAUGUCAACGACUGGUGAAACUACGGCUGCUACAGCGCCAAGAAAAAAGCGAUACAAAUUUCAAACGAAUGCGCAAAAAGAAAAGGAUGCUGAUGAUGAUGUAAACGAUAAUGGAUUGUUCGCGAUUAAAAUGCGCCUCAACACAAUUUUACGACCAGAGUUCAAUCACAUUGUCAAACCGUGGAUCGAACAGAAAAGCAUAAUGUCAACGAAAAUCACCGUUUUGGCAUCAUUACUUUUCUUGGAUAAAGUGAAAUCGGCACAAAUGAAUCGACAGUGGGAGUUUUUUAAAAACCGAACGUAUCCGGCCAAAAAAGGAAAGAAGAAAGGACAGCUCGUUGAAAAGAAUCGUGGCGAAGAAGUGAUUGAGCAAUGUUUCUAUGCCGUCUUGCAAAAAAACAAAGAAGGUGAGAAUAUGGAGCCACAUUUCCGUCAGUUUGUCGAAGAGCUCAGUCCAGAAAAUAAUUUCACCUGGCCCAAGAACGAUUAUUUUGGUAAUCAUUUUAAAACGCUGUGCCAAAAUCACACGCGAUGCUUGAAAACCGGUCAAACGACACACUGCAAGAAGAAGUUGAAAAAUUAUCUGCGAAUGCGAGCGUGGCAAUUCAACGCAGUGUCUACCGGUUGGAAAUUCGACAAGAAGGACAUUGACAAUGCAGUCGAUUUGAUGAUUCGAGGCUACAAUGCGAUCCGUGACACUCAUCAAAAUGCAGAUUUCAAACGACACAAGCGAACAUUACUUACUGGCAUGGUUACUGCAAUUGUGCGAGAAGUUGGUGGCCCAACCAAUGAUCACAACAUCAAGGAUUUAUCAAAAGGCGAUUAUUGGUUCAAAGCAACUGCAAUGUGGCUCGUUAUGCAGACAGAAAUCGAUGAGUGGCACAAUUGGGCGCAAGAUAACAAUGUGAAGAUACCAAAUAUCAAAAAUCUCUCGGUUGUUCCAUUGCCUGAUUAUCAACGAAAGGCAGUGUUCAUGUGCAAUGAUGUCUUCUAUCGAAUGCUGGCCGAAUCGAAACAACUUCCACAAGUUGAUGGUAGACAAGCAACCGAAAGUUACAUUCGCCAGAACAAAGAAUUCUAUUGGAAUCAAGUAUUCGAUUUAACGACCAUCAAUCGAAAACUGAAGAAAAACAAAGAAUUCCAUUAUACCAUCGUCAGCAACGGUGAAUCUGUGUCGAUUAUGUAUCGCAUGUCAAAGCAAUACGAGCAACAGAUGCAGAAUGAUGAUAUUCUUCGAAAGCAAUUCAUCGGCGGAAAAUUUGCUUACGAACUGGGAAUCGAUCCAGGCAUGAAAACAUGGAAUGCCACAGUUCGUCGAAAUAUCAAAACAAAGAAAGAAGUCAACAUGAAAACGUCCAGUAAGAAGUACCAUUGGCUGGCAAAGCAGAAGACGCGCGAUGUAAAGGCAAAACGAUGGACGAAGCAGUUCACCCAAGAGGAGCAGGACGAUCGAAAUAAUCGACAAUUGUAUCAGCGAAUGCCAUCACCACUGGGCAUACUCUGGAUUGAUUACGUUCAUCAUCGUAUCAAAAUGCUCAAGAAAGGAAUGGCCGUAUAUACAACACCGAAAUACACGCUGUUGCAGUUUGACAAGUACGUCGAAUCGAAUCGAACCGUUGAUAAACUCACUGGGAAUUUGGUCAAUCAUAAAGCCGCAAUUAUUCACAUGGGAAAUGCAGAAAUAUCACCAAACUCGUGCAUUCGAAUCAAAAAGCAUGUGAGAGCUCCAGGUACGCGCAAACUACUCAAAGGCUUUCGAAAACGUCGCAAUUGUCGUGUGCGCAAAACAGAUGAGUGGGGUACAUCGCAGCAUUGUGCAAAGUGUGGGCGACGAUUUAAUCCAGCCACAAAGAGCCAUCGAUUCAAAGUGUGUGAAAAUUGUGGAGCGGAGCCCGAUUCAAUUUUCGCCGAAUAUUUACCAUCAAAAAUCGUAGCACAGCGCAGCAAACGGCAAUUGAGGUACAACAAAGAUGUCGUUGAACUUUAUUUGAUGCGAUUUUGGGCAGAAGGACUCAUGACUGAGCAAGAAUUCGAUAUUGCUGCUGAACGUUUACUGUCUAAGGUGGCCGUGUAUCCAAAAAAUUGGCAAGUAAACACAGUGAGUGGUAAAUUGGAAUAUGCUCAAGUCAAUGCUGAUGCACCGUAUGCAACUGUUCAACAGCCAUAUGCAGUCGAUGAUGAAAAUGAAUUGGAAAUCGAAGACAAGCAACUACUAAUGGCUGUACACAAGACAUCUUGGGAUCGUGAUAUCGUCGCCGCCAAAUGCAUUCUCAUCAAAGGACAUUGUGAGCUGUUUGGAUGGGAUAUUCCGGCAGGAUUAGACAGACGAUCACCGCGACAGCCAGCAGUUCAACCGAAUCAGCAGCCUUAAGCAUCACCAAUCACCAUUCGUACUCGAAAAUUAAUCAAAAAUUAAUAUUGUAAUUUGUUACAUUAACUGAGACUGACUGUUGUGUCUCAGCAUUUCGAGGAAGUACUUCUAGGUGUUUUUUUCUAUAUGGGAAACACCCUAAUGUACAAUAACAUUCGAUAACGAUAUUUAUUGCAUCAAGCACCACCUGCAGCGCUCAUUUAAUUGAAAAGUGUUAAAAAUGGCUUGCCAUUUAACAUUAUCUUUGGUGGCCGCACACAUUCUGUCGUACCGCGCUCUUUUGAAAUUAAAGUAGAGAAAAUGCGCUGAGAAGCAAAAGCCAAUAAUAAAAAAAUCGUAUCGUACUGCGUGGUAAUUCCAUUUUUCCAGUAUCAGAUCGUGUUUUUUUUCUCAUUUCCGAUUGAUCUAUGUGCCAAAAUUUGCUGAUCAUCAUAAUAGCAUUUGCAUGAAUUAAGUUUUAACAUAUCUUUUUGAACUGUGAUAAUAUCACUUGUCUCCAUUUAAUACCUCGUACACAUGUGAAGGAGAUCUUUUUUAGUUUUUUUAUUCUGCAAUGUAAAUCAGUGGUAUUUGGCCCACAAGACUCGCGCUAAAGUUCACAUCCUUUUAUAGUUUAUACAGUGGGUAAAAUAGUUUUGAUAAAAAAUGGUUUUAUUUUUUAGAAAAAUAUGUGCUUUUUAUAAUUUUGAAGGAGUUUUCAACAUUUAGCCAAUUUUAAUGAGUUUCAUACGGGUCCAUCGGUUGGUAUAUUUUUUACCAAAAUCUGGCAAUUUUUCAAUUAUUUCUGGAGAUCAUGAGCUCAAUAUUGGCUUCCAAGGGCUUAAAUGGUUUUUGGGUUAUCAAUGACUUCACAAACCACCUGAAAAAAUAAUCCAGAGUGGUCAGAAACAGUUAAAGAGUUCUUCACACCAGGCAAUUCGGUCAUAAAAUGUAGUUAUCAAUAAAUCGAUCGUUUCUAUCAUUAUUUAGAAAGUUGCGUUAUCCUGUUGAAACUAAAAUGGUUCGAAAGACAGCUUUUAGAAGUAAUCACUUAUUUACAUUAUAAGAGCUUACCUAGAUAUAAAUGUUUUACCAGACAAUAUAUUUAGAUUUCGUCAUCUGGAUAUUUCAGCUCAUCUGGAUAACGUUAGGCGAUGAUACGAAAUGAAAACAAUAGAAGUGAUUGUUGUAUUAUAUAGGUAUAAAAAUACUACCUGUCUACAUUGUCUGUGUUUUACCAUUGAAAAUGCAGAAAUUUGAUUUUUUUUUCAAAACCAAAUUAACCAAUGGAUCUGUAUAAAUGAUCAUAUGAUCAAAAUUCUUUCUUAAUCAUAAAUGGUAUACAUUUUGUACCUUUAUUUUUACUAUUAAAACAAAAAAGAAUCAAUUUUUUUUAAAAACAAAAUUUAAAAAACAAAUCCCCAAAAAUACCCUGCAUUAUAAAAUAUAAAAUAUUAUGUCUUGAACUGUGAUCGCCGUGUCCUCAAAAAUUUAACUUCAAAUACCAAAAAUAGGCAAUCAACGCUAAGAAUAUCGAAUUCGAUUGCUGAAAUGGUUGGAAAAUUUGUUUCAAACAAAAAUGUAACAUUUUUUAGAAAGAUUUUAAUCUUGUUCUGAAUGAAAAAGAAGAGAAUAAAUCGUUGCAAUAACAAGUUUUGGUAACAUUCACUUCAUUCAUAUACUACCUAUAUCCCAUUGAUACGCAUUUUUCUUACAUAUCACCUCAAUGUGAAGUUUGGAAAUGUUACUAAUACUGUGUCUUUAAUUGCAGGUAUUUAUGUGCAUUUGGUCGUGGUAAAUGUUCGCAUUUCAAACAAUGACAAAAUUACUUUUCAAAAUCACUUAUCGAAAACUGUUGCGCGUUAUGUAAUUCAUGGCUUAAUGGCAUGGCCAGCAACAAACUAUCAACGCAAUUUGAUCACAUAUGCGCGCUGGGGGGGGUUCCGGUUUGACCCCCCUCUGAGAAAUUUUUUCUCAGAUUUGCAAUAUAAAUGUAUGAACAAUAGCAAAAAUACACUGAUUUUGAAGUCAAACUUGCAACACACAUUUUUACUUGUUUCUCUCAUGCAAAAUUGUUAUUUUAGUUUUCCAUAUAAAUACCCCCUCGCCCCUCGAGACCAAAGUCAAUUUGACCCC
Molecule: RNA transcript, 4722 nt
Organism: Contarinia nasturtii (swede midge)
Lineage: Eukaryota; Metazoa; Arthropoda; Insecta; Diptera; Cecidomyiidae
Exons: 5
Source: RefSeq, a predicted model, not a curated record